GGCGAAGCCAUGGCGCCCCUUUCGGUGUCGGCCAUCCUCGCGCCGUCGCCGCCGCCAGCCCAGGCGGCCGCAAGGGCCUCGCCGCGCCGCGCGCCAGCGAGCGCCGCGCCUGUCGCCGCCGCCAUUUCGACGGCAUUGCUUGCUUUGACUCCUGCCGCGCACGCCGCGGCGUUCUCCAAGGAGGACGUCGCCGGCUCCGUGACCAAGGUGGUGGACACGGUGGACCAGGUCAUCGGC
RNAcentral lists this unclassified non-coding RNA (237 nucleotides) under Hevea brasiliensis (rubber tree). Lineage: Eukaryota; Viridiplantae; Streptophyta; Magnoliopsida; Malpighiales; Euphorbiaceae. The record is from RNAcentral.